AUUGAACGCUGGCGGCAGGCCUAACACAUGCAAGUCGAACGGUAACAGGAAGAAGCUUGCUUCUUUGCUGACGAGUGGCGGACGGGUGAGUAAUGUCUGGGAAACUGCCUGAUGGAGGGGGAUAACUACUGGAAACGGUAGCUAAUACCGCAUAACGUCGCAAGACCAAAGAGGGGGACCUUCGGGCCUCUUGCCAUCGGAUGUGCCCAGAUGGGAUUAGCUAGUAGGUGGGGUAACGGCUCACCUAGGCGACGAUCCCUAGCUGGUCUGAGAGGAUGACCAGCCACACUGGAACUGAGACACGGUCCAGACUCCUACGGGAGGCAGCAGUGGGGAAUAUUGCACAAUGGGCGAAAGCCUGAUGCAGCCAUGCCGCGUGUAUGAAGAAGGCCUUCGGGUGGUAAAGUACUUUCAGCGGGGGGAAGGGAGUAAAGUUAAUACCUUUGCUCAUUGACGUUACCCGCAGAAGAAGCACCGGCUAACUCCGUG
Molecule: ribosomal RNA, 489 nt
Filed under: uncultured bacterium
Lineage: Bacteria
Description: partial 16S ribosomal RNA
Rfam family: Bacterial small subunit ribosomal RNA
Source: RNAcentral